This 326-nucleotide ribosomal RNA is filed under the name uncultured eukaryote. RNAcentral describes it as "partial 18S ribosomal RNA". It matches the Rfam family "Eukaryotic small subunit ribosomal RNA", at positions 1470 to 1796 of the family's 1831-position model. The record is from RNAcentral.
CCCUUAGAUGUUCUGGGCUGCACGCGCGCUACACUGAUGCACUCAACGAGUUUACGAGCUUGUCCGAGAGGAUUGGCUAAUCUUUUUAAAAUGCAUCGUGAUGGGGAUAGAUUAUUGCAAUUAUUAAUCUUCAACGAGGAAUUCCUAGUAAGCGCGAGUCAUCAGCUCGUGCUGAUUACGUCCCUGCCCUUUGUACACACCGCCCGUCGCUCCUACCGAUUGAGUGCUCAGGUGAAUAAUUCGGACUGCAGCAGUGUUUGCAUCCCGAACGCUGCAGCGGAAAGUUUAGUGAACCUUNUNACUUAGNGGAAGGAGAANUCGUANCA